UUUCACAGUAGAACUAGCUAUU
RNAcentral lists this microRNA (22 nucleotides) under Parasteatoda tepidariorum (common house spider). Its description in RNAcentral is "pte-miR-11961b-3p". Lineage: Eukaryota; Metazoa; Arthropoda; Arachnida; Araneae; Theridiidae. The record is from miRBase by way of RNAcentral.